CUUCGGAUUCAUGGUGUGGGAACCCCCGAGAUAUAGUGCUCGGAUCACUAUUCAGGGUUUUGCGCCUGUACGCUCUGAUGAUCCGAAGGGAUGCGAGCGGGAUAUAUUCCCACCGACCUCACAUCUAAGCGCAAUAUAAAAUAGUAAUAC
Non-coding RNA from Arachis ipaensis, 150 nucleotides. The record is from RefSeq and is a predicted model, not a curated record. NCBI's taxonomy places the organism in Eukaryota, Viridiplantae, Streptophyta, Magnoliopsida, Fabales, Fabaceae.